This 195-nucleotide ribosomal RNA is filed under the name uncultured bacterium. RNAcentral's name for it is "partial 16S ribosomal RNA". It matches the Rfam family "Bacterial small subunit ribosomal RNA", at positions 336 to 526 of the family's 1533-position model. The record is from RNAcentral.
CUCCUACGGGAGGCAGCAGUAAGGAAUAUUGGUCAAUGGACGCAAGUCUGAACCAGCCAUGCCGCGUGGAGGAUGAAGGUCCUCUGGAUUGUAAACUUCUUUUAAUUUGGGAAGAAACCCACGAAUUUCUAUUGUGGUUGACGGUACCAGAUGAAUAAGCACCGGCUAACUCCGUGCCAGCAGCCGCGGUAAUAC